This 875-nucleotide ribosomal RNA is filed under the name Salmonella enterica. Its description in RNAcentral is "partial 23S ribosomal RNA". It matches the Rfam family "Bacterial large subunit ribosomal RNA", at positions 624 to 1503 of the family's 2925-position model. RNAcentral also lists the same sequence under 1 other name. Lineage: Bacteria; Pseudomonadati; Pseudomonadota; Gammaproteobacteria; Enterobacterales; Enterobacteriaceae. The record is from RNAcentral.
CGACUUAUAUUCUGUAGCAAGGUUAACCGAAUAGGGGAGCCGGAGGGAAACCGAGUCUUAAUUGGGCGUUAAGUUGCAGGGUAUAGACCCGAAACCCGGUGAUCUAGCCAUGGGCAGGUUGAAGGUUGGGUAACACUAACUGGAGGACCGAACCGACUAAUGUUGAAAAAUUAGCGGAUGACCUGUGGCUGGGGGUGAAAGGCCAAUCAAACCGGGAGAUAGCUGGUUCUCCCCGAAAGCUAUUUAGGUAGCGCCUCGUGAAUUCAUCUCCGGGGGUAGAGCACUGUUUCGGCUAGGGGGCCAUCCCGGCUUACCAACCCGAUGCAAACUGCGAAUACCGGAGAAUGUUAUCACGGGAGACACACGGCGGGUGCUAACGUCCGUCGUGAAGAGGGAAACAACCCAGACCGCCAGCUAAGGUCCCAAAGUCAUGGUUAAGUGGGAAACGAUGUGGGAAGGCCCAGACAGCCAGGAUGUUGGCUUAGAAGCAGCCAUCAUUUAAAGAAAGCGUAAUAGCUCACUGGUCGAGUCGGCCUGCGCGGAAGAUGUAACGGGGCUAAACCAUGCACCGAAGCUGCGGCAGCGACGCUGAUGCGUUGUUGGGUAGGGGAGCGUUCUGUAAGCCUGCGAAGGUGGCCUGUGAGGGUUGCUGGAGGUAUCAGAAGUGCGAAUGCUGACAUAAGUAACGAUAAAGCGGGUGAAAAGCCCGCUCGCCGGAAGACCAAGGGUUCCUGUCCAACGUUAAUCGGGGCAGGGUGAGUCGACCCCUAAGGCGAGGCCGAAAGGCGUAGUCGAUGGGAAACGGGUUAAUAUUCCCGUACUUGGUGUUACUGCGAAGGGGGGACGGAGAAGGCUAUGUUGGCCGGGCGACGGUU